AUUGAACGCUGGCGGCAGGCCUAACACAUGCAAGUCGAACGAGUGGCGGACGGGUGAGUAAUGUCUGGGAAACUGCUUGAUGGAGGGGGAUAACUACUGGAAACGGUAGCUAAUACCGCAUACCAUCAGAUGUGCCCAGAUGGGAUUAGCUUGUUGGUGGGGUAACGGCUCACCAAGGCGACGAUCCCUAGCUGGGCUGAGAUGAGGACCAGCCAAACUGGAACUGAGACACGGUCCAGAACCCUACGGGAGGCAGCAGUGGGGAAUAUUUCACAAUGGGCGCAAGCCUGAUGCAGCCAUGCCGCGUGGAUGAAGAAGGCCUUCGGUUUGUAAAGUACUGUCAGCGGGGAGGCGUUACCCGCAGAAGAAGCACCGGCUAACUCCGUGCCAGCAGCCGCGGUAAUAC
RNAcentral lists this ribosomal RNA (406 nucleotides) under uncultured bacterium. Its description in RNAcentral is "partial 16S ribosomal RNA". It matches the Rfam family "Bacterial small subunit ribosomal RNA", at positions 30 to 526 of the family's 1533-position model. The record is from RNAcentral.